This 730-nucleotide long non-coding RNA is filed under the name Monodelphis domestica (gray short-tailed opossum). Its description in RNAcentral is "lncRNA (ENSMODG00000037110.1)". The record is from RNAcentral. Lineage: Eukaryota; Metazoa; Chordata; Mammalia; Didelphimorphia; Didelphidae.
UUCUAUCAGUCUCCCCUCUUGGAGCUUUAACAGAAGAUCUCUUGGUGUAGUCUCUGGGGGAGGGUUGUUGGGGGUUUGAGCUUCCCUGUCCUCUGGAGGCUUUUGAUUGGCUUAAAGUCCAGCAGUCAAUGAGGAUGGAUGGGGAGCCUGGGCUUCCCUGCGUUCUGGAGACUUUUGAUGGGAUUAGAUUUAGCUGGUUCUUUCAGAAGACUCUGCUUUCUAAGGGGGGAGAGUUCGUGGCCUCCCUGGGCUCUGAGGGCUUCUGAUGGGAUUAGGUUCAGCCUGUUUGUACUGAAUGAGCCCUAAAGCAAAAAUCCUCCUCCUCCACAAUCUGUGUUGAAUGCCCGGAGACUGGCCCAGGUUGCCUUUAAGGUAAGCCCUUCGCCGACCCUGUUUCUGUUCUUUCAGAAGCUCUGAGGGCUCCUGAUGCGAUUAGGUUCAGCUGGUGUGGGCCGAAUGAUCCCCGAGCCAAAAAGAAAAAAAAAAGAAAAAAAACAACCUCCUCCUCCACAAUCUGUGUUGAAUGCCCGGAGACUGGCCCAGGUUACUUUCAAGGAGACUGGCUCAGGUUGCUUUCAAGGUUCUAAGCCGCCAUCUUCUGGAGUAGGAAGAUAUCUUUUUGAUUCCAUGCCCAACAUACUAUCUACUUUGCCUCCUCACUGCCUCCUUUGUACAUAGUAUCUAUUUAAUGGUUUUUGCUCUACACCAAAUAAAACUGAAUGCCUGAACA